CCUAGAUUAUGCCACUUGGGCAUUUACCACCAUCAGCUAUACAUUUCAUGAGUCUAUUGCCUUAGCCUAGAAUUUUGUCGAACCUGUAGUGCUAAAAACCCCAGGCCAUGAAAUUAACAGGUGCAAGGCGCCCAAAGGUGCUUCUAGAUAUUAAUUUUAUUGUUUAUGUAGUUGUCUAUAUACUGUGCAAUGGGAAUGAAAAGAAAUUAAACAGAGGAAAAGAAAAGAAAUAAGUUUUCCAUUAUAAUGUUUGGUUACCUAAUGUGAGGAAGUGGGUAGAAAAGAAAAGAAGUAAGUUUAUAAAGUUUAUUUUACUGUUGUACCCUUAUCAUGUAGCCUUUUACUAUUUAUAUGGUGUAAGGGUAUAUUCGUAACUUUGACCUCUAAAAUUUUUUUACUUUCUCAUUUUCCUCCUUUCAAUCCAAAUUUAUUGGAAAUUUUUUGAGGUUUGGAGGGAAAUCAGAAAAUCUAAUUUCUAUUGUUUUCCACUCUUUUCCUCUCUCUAAUUGAUGUCCAAACAAAAGAAAAUAGAAAAAUGAUGUUUCUUUGCUUCUCUUUUCCAUCCACUUCCCUCAAAAUAAACAAAGCAUUAAAGUUACAUUUGGUAGAGCGUAAUGUAAUGCAAUAUAAUCAAUUAUCUAAUGCAAUCAAAUUAUAUUGUAAUGUGAUGUAAUUGUUAUCACAUUCAUCUGUUUGAUUGCAAAAUAAAAAUAUGA
This 716-nucleotide unclassified non-coding RNA is filed under the name Hevea brasiliensis (rubber tree). The record is from RNAcentral. Lineage: Eukaryota; Viridiplantae; Streptophyta; Magnoliopsida; Malpighiales; Euphorbiaceae.